AAAUUAUAUAUAUAAAGAAUACUAAAAGUUUUAAAUAUUUUGAUAUCCAAAAUAUCUAUGUCUUACCUAAUAAAUCAAUGGCAUACACUGGUCUCUGAGAUGCAAGCGCAUCCAGAUUUAAACACCAUAAUGCUACUCCAGCUCCUAAACCAUGUAAUAAAACAAUUGGUGUUCUUGGUGAUUCUUCAUUCAAUGAAAUAGUCCAUAUUUUAUCCGCUGGACCCACUACUGGCCCAAUAUCCACAUACCAUCCUCUAUAUGCCGUUUUUAAACCUUGCAACAUUGAAAUUAGCACAUAUAAAUUUUUAUUUAUCUUAAUAAAAUUCUUAAAAUUUAAUUAUAUUUUAUUUACAUGACAGGAUCUUUUUUUCCACAGCACGUAACAUGGUUGAAGAUGAUCCAGACCAACUAAACCAUCCCCAAAUCCAGCUGCUGUUUAGGAAAAAAAAAGGAUUAUUUUUCUCGUACACAUACGUGGAGCUAUGUUUUAGAGAAGAGCAACAAAUCGAUAAUUUACAUAAACCAGUUUCCCCCAGCAAUUAUUUCCGCAUUUGAAUGAAAUAAUAUAAUCUGAAUUUCGCGAAAAAAAAAUGUAAAAAAAGUAAGAGUAGUUGCAUGAUAACUGAAGAAAACAGAAAGCAUUUAUCAACUGUGAACCGUCAACAUUUAAGGCACCGGCAAAUUCUAUCAUCCGGGAAGACGAAUCAGACCGGAUGAGACGCGGAUUUCGAAUCUGGAGCAUCAGCUGAUUAUGACAUUUCUUCGGCGAUUCAAAAUGACGUCAUUUAAUUACUUGUUAUGUUACAACAUAAUAAUUAUACGCACAUAAGUGAAAUUCCUUGUCUAGAAGAUCGUCGAUUAUGCCGACUCGACACCGGGAGGAAGACACUACAGUUCAAGGGUCGCAUCUUUGUAAGUAAUGCAUAUCAAUGUACGAUAAAAAUGCUGAUAAUAUAUGUCUGCUCUUUUUCUCUAUGACGUAUUAUAUCGCGCCGGUAAUCGCAACGUGUUAUUGUUAAGGCCGAAAUAUAAAAGUGAAUGAUAACGCGUGAAUAAUUUCGUGUAAAUUGACGAGUAUAAUUCCUUAUACAAAGUAGAUAUAUUAACACAUAUGUGUGUAUCGUUAUCAUAUUUUAUUAAUUGUGCGUUCAUUACUUUUACAUUUCUUUUGCUUAAAUACUGACCAACGUAAUAUCUUUCAUCGAGUGUUCGAUGUGAUAUAUAUUGAACUUAUUAAUAAACAUGAAACAGUUUCAAAUCUUUCUCAUCAUUGUUUCGAAAUUUCAUUCAUAAUUAAUCAGUAGCAUCAAACUUGAUGAAAAUAAUGUAAAAAAUUAAUAAACAUAAAU
Non-coding RNA from Nylanderia fulva, 1349 nucleotides. Lineage: Eukaryota; Metazoa; Arthropoda; Insecta; Hymenoptera; Formicidae. The record is from RefSeq and is a predicted model, not a curated record.